UUGACCUCAAAUCAGGUAGGACUACCCGCUGAACUUAAGCAUAUCAAUAAGCGGAGGAAAAGAAACUAACGAGGAUUCCCCUAGUAACUGCGAGUGAAGCGGGAAAAGCUCAAAUUUGAAAUCUGGCGGCUUUUAGCUGUCCGAGUUGUAAUCUAGAGAAGUGCUACCUGUGCUGGACCGUGUAAAAGUCUCCUGGAAUGGAGCAUCAUAGAGGGUGAGAAUCCCGUCUUUGACAUGGACUGCCUGUACAUUCAAGGUGCGCUCUCGAAGAGUCGAGUUGUUUGGGAAUGCAGCUCAAAAUGGGUGGUAAAUGCCAUCUAAAGCUAAAUAUUGGCGAGAGACCGAUAGCGAACAAGUACCGUGAGGGAAAGAUGAAAAGAACUUUGGAAAGAGAGUUAAACAGUACGUGAAAUUGCUGAAAGGGAAACGCUUGAAGUCAGUCGCGUUGACUAGAAAUCAGCCUUGCUUUUGCUUGGUGUACUUUCUUGUCGACGGGUCAGCAUCAGUUUUGACCAUUGGAUAAGGAUUUUGGGAAUGUGGCAUCUUUGGAUGUGUUAUAGCCCAUUGUCGCAUACGAUGGUUGGGAUUGAGGAACUCAGCACGCCCGCAAGGGCAGGGUCUUCUGACCACAACUCGUGCUUAGGAUGCUGGCAUAAUGGCUUUAAUCGACCCGUC
Molecule: ribosomal RNA, 675 nt
Filed under: Inocybe lacera var. lacera
Lineage: Eukaryota; Fungi; Basidiomycota; Agaricomycetes; Agaricales; Inocybaceae
Description: eukaryotic LSU rRNA
Rfam family: Eukaryotic large subunit ribosomal RNA
Source: RNAcentral